This 450-nucleotide ribosomal RNA is filed under the name uncultured bacterium. Its description in RNAcentral is "partial 16S ribosomal RNA". It matches the Rfam family "Bacterial small subunit ribosomal RNA", at positions 354 to 796 of the family's 1533-position model. The record is from RNAcentral.
GUGGGGAAUUUUGGACAAUGGGCGCAAGCCUGAUCCAGCAAUGCCGCGUGCAGGAAGAAGGCCUUCGGGUUGUAAACUGCUUUUGUACGGAACGAAACGGUCCUGGUUAAUACCUGGGGCUAAUGACGGUACCGUAAGAAUAAGCACCGGCUAACUACGUGCCAGCAGCCGCGGUAAUACGUAGGGUGCAAGCGUUCAUCGGAAUUACUGGGCGUAAAGCGUGCGCAGGCGGUUUUGUAAGACAGGCGUGAAAUCCCCGGGCUCAACCUGGGAAUUGCGCUUGUGACUGCAAGGCUGGAGUGCGGCAGAGGGGGAUGGAAUUCCGCGUGUAGCAGUGAAAUGCGUAGAUAUGCGGAGGAACACCGAUGGCGAAGGCAAUCCCCUGGGCCUGCACUGACGCUCAUGCACGAAAGCGUGGGGAGCAAACAGGAUUAGAUACCCGGGUAGUCC